Molecule: long non-coding RNA, 280 nt
Filed under: Heterocephalus glaber (naked mole-rat)
Lineage: Eukaryota; Metazoa; Chordata; Mammalia; Rodentia; Bathyergidae
Description: lncRNA (ENSHGLG00100033175.1)
Source: RNAcentral
AGCUUGUAACCUGCAUUCUCACACUGCUCUGAUUAAAGUCUCUUCAAAAAGCCAGUGACGGGACUCUCAGCCUGUUGUGUUCCUGCCUUGAGCAGCUGCCACUCUUCUCCACAGGGCCCGGAUCGAUGCAGCACCCACCUGGCACCUGCUGGGGGCAUGAGUUUCAACGUGGAGGAGCAUUGCGCCCCUGGGAGGAGGCAGCUGCCUGGCUUUCCAGGUCAGGGAUGGCAGAGGGCGGAGAGGGGGCCCAGGUCAGAGGACCUCCCCGCGUGACCCCGGG